GUGAGCCUACGGGAGGCAGCAGUGGGGAAUAUUGCACAAUGGGCGCAAGCCUGAUGCAGCCAUGCCGCGUGUAUGAAGAAGGCCUUCGGGCUGUAAAGUACUUUCAGCGGGGAGGAAGGGAGUAAAGUUAAUACCUUUGCUCAUUGACGUUACCCGCAGAAGAAGCACCGGCUAACUCCGUGCCAGCAGCCGCGGGAAUACGGAGGGUGCAAGCGUUAAUCGGAAUUACUGGGCGUAAAGCGCACGCAGGCGGGUUGUUAAGUCAGCUGGGAAAUCCC
Molecule: ribosomal RNA, 278 nt
Filed under: uncultured bacterium
Lineage: Bacteria
Description: partial 16S ribosomal RNA
Rfam family: Bacterial small subunit ribosomal RNA
Source: RNAcentral